Oncorhynchus masou masou (cherry salmon) is the source of this 620-nucleotide long non-coding RNA. RefSeq lists it as uncharacterized. The record is from RefSeq and is a predicted model, not a curated record. The transcript has 3 exons. Lineage: Eukaryota; Metazoa; Chordata; Actinopteri; Salmoniformes; Salmonidae.
UGAUACCAGACAUGGAAGAGAACAGAGGAGUCCUACAUCUCACAUCUCACAUACGUUCAGAGGGAAACGCUGUUCAGAUAAGUGAGAUCAGUGGAGGCAGCCUAUGAGAAGCUGGCAGAUGAGGCUCUGGAUGCAUUGGCUGACUACUUUGAGGAUCUGAUUGAUGGACCACUAGCAGGGCCUGAGUUUGAUGUUCUCUUCUAUGGAAUCUGGCCUGACCUCCUGACCUCAACCCCUCCUUCGCAUAAUCCACAGAUGUCCUCACCUAUCGCACUCCCGUGACUCCCUCUCGUCCACCCAGCACAUUCCACAGCCACUCUGUCUUACUACAGAGAACCAUAAACUUCUCACUCCUUUAUAUAUAAUGCGUCUGAUUUAUCAUGUCUUUAAUAUCUCAAUGUUCAAUGUUUACCCCGAAUCCAACACAUGAAACGCUGUCUUCUCUGUAAGUAGGCUACUGAUUAUAUUCUGAUUGUAAGUCAAUCUGGAUAAGUGUAUAUUCAAUUAUGGAAAUGGCCAGAGUAUGAAAGUACAGAGACUUCUCUAUAAGUACAGGGAGAUACUGUACAUACCAAUUGCGCUCCUUUUGGGAAAAUCUUAUCUUUAUCUAUCCUUAUUUU